GGAAGUAAAAGUCGUAACAAGGUUUCCGUAGGUGAACCUGCGGAAGGAUCAUUAACGAGUAACUGAACGGGUUGUAGCUGGCCUCUCGGGGCAUGUGCACACCUGGCUCAUCCACUCUUCAACCUCUGUGCACUUGUUGUAGGUCGGCAGAAGGGCGAGCCUUAAAACAGCUCGCUUGGAAGCCUUCCUAUGUUUUACCACAAACGCUUCAGUUUAAGAAUGUAACCUGCGUAUAACGCAACUAUAUACAACUUUCAGCAACGGAUCUCUUGGCUCUCGCAUCGAUGAAGAACGCAGCGAAAUGCGAUAAGUAAUGUGAAUUGCAGAAUUCAGUGAAUCAUCGAAUCUUUGAACGCACCUUGCGCUCCCUGGUAUUCCGGGGAGCAUGCCUGUUUGAGUGUCAUGGUAUCCUCAUCCUUCAUAACUUUUUGUUAUCGAAGGCAUGGACUUGGAGGUCGUGCUGGUUUCUCGUUGAAUCGGCUCCUCUUAAAUGGAUUAGCGUGAGUGUAACGGAUCGCUUCGGUGUGAUAAUUAUCUGCGCCGUGGUCGUGAAGUAACAUAAGCUUGCGCUUCUAACCGUCCUUAAGUUGGACAACAUAACUUUGACAUCUGACCUCAAAUCAGGUAGGACUACCCGCUGAACUUAA
Molecule: ribosomal RNA, 647 nt
Filed under: Phanerochaete aff. sordida II
Lineage: Eukaryota; Fungi; Basidiomycota; Agaricomycetes; Polyporales; Phanerochaetaceae
Description: eukaryotic LSU rRNA
Rfam family: 5.8S ribosomal RNA (bases 250-403)
Source: RNAcentral